GGGUUCUACCAUUGGUCGGGCAAUAGUCUGUACUGGUGUGUAGAAUUUCUACCUUCUGGGGAACCAUCAUGUUAUUUAUUUAGCGUGGUGGGAAACCAGGACCUUUACCUUGAAAAAAUUAGAGUGUUCAAAGCAGGCUUACGUCUGAAUACAUUAGCAUGGAAUAAUAAAAUAGGACGGUGGUCCUGUUUUGUUGGUUUCUGAAUCACCGUAAUGAUUAAUAGGGAUAGUUGGG
This 235-nucleotide ribosomal RNA is filed under the name uncultured Gigasporaceae. RNAcentral's name for it is "partial 18S ribosomal RNA". The stretch from base 37 to 235 matches the Rfam family "Eukaryotic small subunit ribosomal RNA", at positions 684 to 886 of the family's 1831-position model. Lineage: Eukaryota; Fungi; Glomeromycota; Glomeromycetes; Diversisporales; Gigasporaceae. The record is from RNAcentral.